Non-coding RNA from Salmo salar (Atlantic salmon), 54 nucleotides. NCBI's taxonomy places the organism in Eukaryota, Metazoa, Chordata, Actinopteri, Salmoniformes, Salmonidae. The record is from Rfam.
AAUGAACCAAUUUGUAAGUCGCUCUGGAUAAGAGCGUCUGCUAAAUGACUUAAA